RNAcentral lists this ribosomal RNA (564 nucleotides) under uncultured archaeon. RNAcentral's name for it is "bacterial SSU rRNA". It matches the Rfam family "Archaeal small subunit ribosomal RNA", at positions 311 to 879 of the family's 1478-position model. The record is from RNAcentral.
CGCGAAUUCGCCCUUCGGGGUGCAGCAGGCGCGAAAACUUUGCAAUGCGGGAAACCGUGACAAGGGAACUCUGAGUGCCCGUUAAAUCGGGCUGUCCAUCGGUUUAAAUAACCGGUGAAGAAAGGGCCGGGCAAGACCGGUGCCAGCCGCCGCGGUAAUACCGGCGGCUCGAGUGGUGGCCACUAUUACUGGGCUUAAAGCGUUCGUAGCUGGUUUGUUAAGUCUCUGGGGAAAUCUUCCGGCUUAACCGGAAGGCGUCUCAGGGAUACUGGCAGACUAGGGACCGGGAGAGGUGAGAGGUACUCCAGGGGUAGGAGUGAAAUCCUGUAAUCCUUGGGGGACCACCUGUGGCGAAGGCGUCUCACCAGAACGGCUCCGACAGUGAGGGACGAAAGCUGGGGGAGCAAACCGGAUUAGAUACCCGGGUAGUCCCAGCUGUAAACGAUGUGCGUUAGGUGUAUCGGUGACCACGAGUCACCGAGGUGCCGAAGAGAAAUCGUGAAACGUACCGCCUGGGAAGUACGGUCGCAAGGCUGAAACUUAAAGGAAUUGGCGGGGGAGCAC